UACGUAGGGUGCGAGCGUAAUCGGAAUUACUGGGCGUAAAGCGUGCGCAGGCGGUUCGUUGUGUCGGCGGUGAAAGCCCCGGGCUCAACCUGGGAAUGGCCGUUGAAACUGGCGAACUGGAGUGUGGCAGAGGGGGGUGGAAUUCCGCGUGUAGCCGUGAAAUGCGUAGAGAUGCGGAGGAACACCGAUGGCGAAGGCAGCC
RNAcentral lists this ribosomal RNA (202 nucleotides) under uncultured bacterium. RNAcentral's name for it is "partial 16S ribosomal RNA". It matches the Rfam family "Bacterial small subunit ribosomal RNA", at positions 524 to 726 of the family's 1533-position model. The record is from RNAcentral.